GUUGGGAGCAUUGCCCUGGUCAGGCCUGAUCUGGGAUGCUAAGUAGGCUUGGGCCUGGUUAGUACUUAGAUGAAGGACCACGUAGGAACACCAGGUGGCUACACCCAGCU
RNAcentral lists this ribosomal RNA (110 nucleotides) under Monopterus albus (swamp eel). The record is from RNAcentral. Lineage: Eukaryota; Metazoa; Chordata; Actinopteri; Synbranchiformes; Synbranchidae.